This 377-nucleotide ribosomal RNA is filed under the name uncultured Chloroflexota bacterium. RNAcentral describes it as "bacterial SSU rRNA". It matches the Rfam family "Bacterial small subunit ribosomal RNA", at positions 521 to 896 of the family's 1533-position model. Lineage: Bacteria; Bacillati; Chloroflexota. The record is from RNAcentral.
UAAUACGUAGGAUCCGAGCGUUGUCCGAAUUUACUGGGCGUAAAGAGCGCGUAGGCGGUUUGUUAAGUCUCAUGUGUAAUCUCCCGGCUCAACUGGGAGGGGUCAUGGGAUACUGGCAGACUUGAGGAUAGCAGAGGAAAGCGGAAUUCCCGGAGUAGUGGUGAAAUGCGUAGAUACCGGGAGGAACACCAGAGGCGAAGGCGGCUUUCUGGGCUAUUUCUGACGCUGAGGCGCGAAAGCGUGGGGAGCGAACCGGAUUAGAUACCCGGGUAGUCCACGCCCUAAACGAUGGAUACUAGAUGUUGGGGGUAUAGACCCCCCCAGUGUCGAAGCUAACGCGAUAAGUAUCCCGCCUGGGGAGUACGGCCGCAAGGCUA